GUCGUGAGAUGUUGGGUUAAGUCCCGCAACGAGCGCAACCCUUGGGACUAGUUGCCAGCGAGUCAUGUCGGGGACUCUAGUCCGACUGCCGGUGCCAAACCGGAGGAAGGUGGGGACGACGUCAAGUCAUCAUGGUCCUUACGUCCAGGGCUACACACGUGCUACAAUGGGCGGGACAGAGGGCAGCGGUGCCGAAAGGCCGAGCCAAUCCCAGAAACCCGUCCUCAGUUCGGAUUGUCGUCUGCAACUCGACGGCAUGAAGCUGGAAUCGCUAGUAAUCGCGGAUCAGCGAUGCCGCGGUGAAUACGUUCCCGGGCCUUGUACACACCGCCCGUCGCGCCAUGGAAGCUGUGAGUGCCCGAAGUCGGUGCCGCAACCCGCAAGGGGGCAAGCCGCCGAAGGCAAGCGAAGUGACUGGGGCGAAGUCGUAACAAGGUAGCCGUAGGGGAACCUGCGGCUGGAUCACCUCCUUAACGGAUUCUGAGUAGGUCGGGGAUUAUGCCGACUGAAAAAUUCCUGUAGUCGCUUCACCCGCACAUCACAACCCAAUUCGAUUUUUCUUAGUCCGACGCCACCGCCAAGAGCGAGAGCUCGAGGGCGGUGUUUGCGUCAGCGCUAUUUGACAACGGAACGAAAGGUAGAUCGUGGGAAAUGGAAGAAUCACACGAGCAAGCAAGACGCUGGUUUGCGCAAGCAAGCAGAGUUAUUGAGUGCUCACUCGUGAACGACGAAGACGAACAACACGGUCUCAGACAUUGCGUGUUUGAGACUGCGCGUGCUCUGCUUGGAUACAGGAUCGAGAAGGCGAGUGACGGAUCAGACGAUCGAUCCCGAGCGACCCAACUUUGUAGUCAAGCGAGCGAUAGCAUGUGGAGGAUGCCUGGGCACACAGAGGCGAUGAAGGCCGUGGUAAGCUGCGAUAAGCCAAGGGGAGCGGCACACACGCAUUGAUCCUUGGAUGG
RNAcentral lists this small RNA (962 nucleotides) under uncultured Gemmatimonas sp. Its description in RNAcentral is "bacterial SSU rRNA". The stretch from base 1 to 473 matches the Rfam family "Bacterial small subunit ribosomal RNA", at positions 1064 to 1533 of the family's 1533-position model. Lineage: Bacteria; Pseudomonadati; Gemmatimonadota; Gemmatimonadia; Gemmatimonadales; Gemmatimonadaceae. The record is from RNAcentral.